Molecule: long non-coding RNA, 211 nt
Filed under: Mytilus galloprovincialis (Mediterranean mussel)
Lineage: Eukaryota; Metazoa; Mollusca; Bivalvia; Mytilida; Mytilidae
Source: RNAcentral
GUGAACUUAUUUUUGACAAACAAAAAUCUCCAACAAAGACCAUCGUAAGAAUACCAACACCAAUGACAUGGAGACUUCACUGAAACAAAAGAGGUGAAGGUGGCUUGGUCAUGUUCUAUGCAAAACAUCUGACGACACGAUCAAGGUAGCCCUGAGAUGGACACCAGAAGGGAAAAUAAUGAAGAAAGACCAAAAACAACAUCGAGACACA